This 468-nucleotide ribosomal RNA is filed under the name uncultured bacterium. RNAcentral's name for it is "partial 16S ribosomal RNA". It matches the Rfam family "Bacterial small subunit ribosomal RNA", at positions 28 to 507 of the family's 1533-position model. The record is from RNAcentral.
GACGAACGCUGGCGGCGUGCUUAACACAUGCAAGUCGAACGGAAAGGCCCUGCUUUUGUGGGGUGCUCGAGUGGCGAACGGGUGAGUAACACGUGAGUAACCUGCCCUUGACUUUGGGAUAACUUCAGGAAACUGGGGCUAAUACCGGAUAGGAGCUCCUGCUCCAUGGUGGGGGUUGGAAAGUUUCGGCGGUUGGGGAUGGACUCGCGGCUUAUCAGCUUGUUGGUGGGGUAGUGGCUUACCAAGGCUUAGACGGGUAGCCGGCCUGAGAGGGUGACCGGCGACAAUGGGACUGAGGGACGGACCAGACGGCUACGUGAGGCAGCGGUGGAGAGUAUGGCACAAUAGGCGGGAGCGAGAUGCAACGACGCCGGGUGCGUGAAGACGGCCUUCUGGUUAUGAACCGAUGUCUCCGGAGACGUAGCGUGAGUGACGGUAAUGGGUAAAGAAGCACCGGCUAACUACGUG